AAUACCUCUAUCGCCAAGGCAUGUACUCCACUGGCCAACUCCUCUUCUAACAGUCCAUAAAUUAACUUGUGUCUCUGCAAUUUAAUUAAAAUUAGGACAAAAUUAAAUCAUCCCUCCGUGUAUGAUAAUAUACCUUGAUCAGAGGCAUCCCUUCGAAUUUACUCGAGACAACGACAACCCUGAAGUGGGUUUCGCUGCCUUUGGGCACACUGUGCAUGUAGGACUCGUUGACAAUUUCCAGAUGUUGUGGUUCUGCUCCAGUCCGGAUUUUUCGCUGGAUUGUCUCCGCAACAGGCCCUCCGGUUGAUUCCAUUCUUCCCGUCAAAAAUGAGUGUUUGACGAGUUGUGACAGUCUGACACGUCGAAGUAGAGCUGUCAUAUAAACACUGGAAAAUGUUUUCACUGCUUUUAUCUUUUAACUUUUCGAGCUAAAUUGUUAUGGACUGAAAUAAGCUUCUCAAAAUUAGAGUCAGAGUCAACUCAAUAAAAUAAAUAACGUCGCGCCACGCCCCCUCAAUGUGAGGCGAGUGGCGCGAGUUUGACAGAGGAGUACACAAGAUACACAAUGUAAUAUACGAUUAUAGCGUUUGUGAAACCUACCACGGCCGACGACCUGUACCCUGCGUACCUUGAGCAAAUUAAUCCUCCAUCUAUGUGGUUGAAUUAUGAAUUAUUGACCUUGGACGCCUGGAGCGCAGCCGCUAGUGGGUGUUAUUUACUGCAGUGUGGCCGAUACCCAGUGACCAGUGGACAUGGCGGACCGGACACAAUUAAUCUGCUGCUACCACAUAGCGACCUGCAGGACAAUUUCGAGAUUUCCAACACCUCGAUCAUAGCCGGUUGUGCCGCUGAACUAUGCGCUCGCUUGGAACGCCGAAAAGGAAAACAAACAGGAUUCAGAAUUCAGGUCAACCAAGACGAGCAACAGACGGCAUGCAACGGCUGCUGCCCAGUCCAAACAGCUGUCCAGUGGCCACCGUUUCAUAGCACUACCUCGAGUUCUCGGCCUGGCAGCGAUCAGCUGUACCUGGUGUGGCCUGAGACUUUGGUGGCUGCCUGAUACUAUUUUUGGC
Cloeon dipterum is the source of this 1073-nucleotide long non-coding RNA. RefSeq lists it as uncharacterized. The transcript is spliced from 3 exons. NCBI's taxonomy places the organism in Eukaryota, Metazoa, Arthropoda, Insecta, Ephemeroptera, Baetidae. The record is from RefSeq and is a predicted model, not a curated record.